UAUAUGUAUGUACGUAUAUAUACAUAUACAUGAACAAAACUAAACUACAAACCCGCAAGUCCCCACUGAAAACGAGGUGGGGGAGGAGGGGGCGGGAACGGUCAAGGCGCAGACAUUGAGGGAUGCGAAACGAACUCUGUGCCCUGCACAGUCGGUGCCUUCGGGGGCUCCACCGCUGCGUGCUCCCACCCGAAAGGCCUGCAAGACACACCAAAAGACUCCUCCAAGUCGUGUAAGGGAGAAAACGAAACACUCCACUGGCCUCUAUCAGGGGAAGUUAAUUUUUCCCCUUUUCUGCACAUUUUCCAAACUCUAUAACUCUAAUUUGCAGUACAGAAAAUAAGCUUUUAUAUUUAUUAUUUU
RNAcentral lists this long non-coding RNA (363 nucleotides) under Ictidomys tridecemlineatus (thirteen-lined ground squirrel). RNAcentral describes it as "lncRNA (ENSSTOG00000033158.1)". Lineage: Eukaryota; Metazoa; Chordata; Mammalia; Rodentia; Sciuridae. The record is from RNAcentral.